RNAcentral lists this ribosomal RNA (549 nucleotides) under uncultured bacterium. RNAcentral describes it as "bacterial SSU rRNA". It matches the Rfam family "Bacterial small subunit ribosomal RNA", at positions 355 to 896 of the family's 1533-position model. The record is from RNAcentral.
UGGGGAAUAUUGCACAAUGGGCGCAAGCCUGAUGCAGCCAUGCCGCGUGUGUGAAGAAGGCCUUAGGGUUGUAAAGCACUUCCAGCGAGGAGGAAAGGUGAUUAGUUAAUACCUGAUUACUGUGACGUUACUCGCAGAAGAAGCACCGGCUAACUCCGUGCCAGCAGCCGCGGUAAUACGGAGGGUGCGAGCGUUAAUCGGAAUUACUGGGCGUAAAGCGUGCGUAGGCGGCUACUUAAGUUGGAUGUGAAAGCCCCGGGCUUAACCUGGGAACUGCAUCCAAAACUGGGUGGCUAGAGUGCGAGAGAGGAGUGUGGAAUUUCCUGUGUAGCGGUGAAAUGCGUAGAUAUAGGAAGGAACACCAGUGGCGAAGGCGACACUCUGGCUUGACACUGACGCUGAGGUACGAAAGCGUGGGGAGCAAACAGGAUUAGAUACCCUGGUAGUCCACGCCGUAAACGAUGUCUACUAAUUGUCCGUUGUCUUGUACGAUGGGUAAUGCAGCUAACGCGAUAAGUAGACCGCCUGGGGAGUACGGCCGCAAGGUUA